CCAGACUCCUACGGGAGGCAGCAGUGGGGAAUAUUGCACAAUGGGCGAAAGCCUGAUGCAGCAACGCCGCGUGAAGGAAGAAGGGUUUCGGCUCGUAAACUUCUAUCAACAGGGACGAAAGAAAUGACGGUACCUGAAGAAGAAGCCCCGGCUAACUACGUGCCAGCAGCCGCGGUAAUACGUAGGGGGCAAGCGUUAUCCGGAUUUACUGGGUGUAAAGGGGGCGCAGACGGCGAUGCAAGCCAGGAGUGAAAGCCCGGGGCCCAACCCCGGGACUGCUCUUGGAACUGCGUGGCUGGAGUGCAGGAGGGGCAGGCGGAAUUCCUGGUGUAGCGGUGAAAUGCGUAGAUAUCAGGAGGAACACCGGUGGCGAAGGCGGUCUGCUGGACAGCAACUGACGCUGAGGCGCGAAAGCGUGGGGAGCAAACAGGAUUAGAUACCCUUGUA
Molecule: ribosomal RNA, 447 nt
Filed under: uncultured bacterium
Lineage: Bacteria
Description: bacterial SSU rRNA
Rfam family: Bacterial small subunit ribosomal RNA
Source: RNAcentral